UACGGGGGGGGCAAGCGUUGUUCGGAAUUACUGGGCGGAAAGGGCUCGUAGGCGGCCAACUAAGUCAGACGUGAAAUCCCUCGGCUUAACCGGGGAACUGCAACUGAUACUGGAUGGCUCGAGUUUGGGAGAGGGAUGCGGAAUUCCAGGUGUAGCGGUGAAAUGCGUAGAUAUCUGGAGGAACACCGGUGGCGAAGGCGGCAUCCUGGACCAACACUGACGCUGAUGAGCGAAAGCCAGGGGAGCAAACGGG
RNAcentral lists this ribosomal RNA (253 nucleotides) under uncultured bacterium. RNAcentral's name for it is "partial 16S ribosomal RNA". It matches the Rfam family "Bacterial small subunit ribosomal RNA", at positions 524 to 776 of the family's 1533-position model. The record is from RNAcentral.